This 482-nucleotide ribosomal RNA is filed under the name uncultured bacterium. RNAcentral's name for it is "bacterial SSU rRNA". It matches the Rfam family "Bacterial small subunit ribosomal RNA", at positions 30 to 506 of the family's 1533-position model. The record is from RNAcentral.
UUGAACGCUGGCGGCAUGCCUUACACAUGCAAGUCGAACGGCAGCACGGAGCUUGCUCUGGUGGCGAGUGGCGAACGGGUGAGUAAUAUAUCGGAACGUACCCUAGAGUGGGGGAUAACGUAGCGAAAGUUACGCUAAUACCGCAUACGAUCUAAGGAUGAAAGUGGGGGAUCGCAAGACCUCAUGCUCGUGGAGCGGCCGAUAUCUGAUUAGCUAGUUGGUAGGGUAAAGGCCUACCAAGGCGACGAUCUGUAGCGGGUCUGAGAGGAUGAUCCGCCACACUGGGACUGAGACACGGCCCAGACUCCUACGGGAGGCAGCAGUGGGGAAUUUUGGACAAUGGGCGAAAGCCUGAUCCAGCCAUGCCGCGUGCGGGAAGAAGGCCUUCGGGUUGUAAACCGCUUUCAGCCGGAAAGAAAUCGCCACUUCUAAUACGAGUGGUGGAUGACGGUACCGGAAGAAGAAGCACCGGCUAACUACGU